This 289-nucleotide small RNA is filed under the name Otolemur garnettii (small-eared galago). RNAcentral describes it as "Metazoan signal recognition particle RNA (ENSOGAG00000025219.1)". The record is from RNAcentral. Lineage: Eukaryota; Metazoa; Chordata; Mammalia; Primates; Galagidae.
GCCGGGCGUUGUGGCGGGCGCCUGUGGUCCCAGCUACUUGGGAGGCGGAGGCAGGAGACUCGCUUGAGCCCAGGAGUUGGAGGUUGCUGUGAGCUGUAAUGCCACGGCACUCUAUCCAGGGGGACAGCUUGAGGCUCUGUCUCAAAAAAAAAAAAAAAGAUUUGAGAACAGAAUUGUGCAGGGCUUAUUUACCCAUGAUUUUUUUUUUUUUUUGAGACCAGAGUAUCACUAUGUCGCCCUGGGUAGAGUGCCAUGGCAUCACAGCUCACUGCAACCUCCAACUCUUGGG